Molecule: ribosomal RNA, 253 nt
Filed under: uncultured bacterium
Lineage: Bacteria
Description: partial 16S ribosomal RNA
Rfam family: Bacterial small subunit ribosomal RNA
Source: RNAcentral
UACGUAGGUGGCAAGCGUUGUCCGGAUUUAUUGGGUUUAAAGGGUGCGUAGGCGGUUCUAUAAGUCAGUGGUGAAAUCCGGCAGCUUAACUGUCGAUGUGCCAUUGAUACUGCAGAACUUGAGUACAGACGAGGUAGGCGGAAUUGACGGUGUAGCGGUGAAAUGCUUAGAUAUCGUCAAGAACACCGAUAGCGAAGGCAGCUUACUAGACUGUAACUGACGCUGAUGCACGAAAGUGUGGGGAUCAAACAGG